Molecule: ribosomal RNA, 858 nt
Filed under: Ramularia chamaedryos
Lineage: Eukaryota; Fungi; Ascomycota; Dothideomycetes; Mycosphaerellales; Mycosphaerellaceae
Description: eukaryotic LSU rRNA
Rfam family: Eukaryotic large subunit ribosomal RNA
Source: RNAcentral
AGGAAAAGAAACCAACAGGGAUUGCCCUAGUAACGGCGAGUGAAGCGGCAACAGCUCAAAUUUGAAAUCUGGCGCAAGCCCGAGUUGUAAUUUGUAGAGGAUGCUUCUAGGUAGCGACCGGUUUAAGUUCCUUGGAACAGGACGUCAUAGAGGGUGAGAAUCCCGUAUGUGACCGGCCCGCACCUUCUACGUAGCUCCUUCGACGAGUCGAGUUGUUUGGGAAUGCAGCUCUAAAUGGGAGGUAAAUUUCUUCUAAAGCUAAAUACCGGCCAGAGACCGAUAGCGCACAAGUAGAGUGAUCGAAAGAUGAAAAGCACUUUGGAAAGAGAGUUAAAAAGCACGUGAAAUUGUUGAAAGGGAAGCGCUUACAACCAGACUUCUGGGCGGUGUUCCGCCGGUCUUUUGACCGGUCUACUCGCCGUCCCGAGGCCAACAUCAUCUGGGACCGCUGGAUAAGACCUUAGGAAUGUAGCUUCCCUCGGGAAGUGUUAUAGCCUCUGGUGAUGCAGCGCGUCUCGGGUGAGGUCCGCGCUUCGGCAAGGAUGUUGGCGUAAUGGUUGUCAGCGGCCCGUCUUGAAACACGGACCAAGGAGUCUAACAUCUAUGCGAGUGUUCGGGUGUCAAACCCCUACGCGUAAUGAAAGUGAACGGAGGUGGGAAGGGUAACCUGCACCAUCGACCGAUCCUGAUGUCCUCGGAUGGAUUUGAGUAAGAGCAUAGCUGUUGGGACCCGAAAGAUGGUGAACUAUGCCUGAAUAGGGUGAAGCCAGAGGAAACUCUGGUGGAGGCUCGCAGCGGUUCUGACGUGCAAAUCGAUCGUCAAAUUUGGGUAUAGGGGCGAAAGACUAAUCGAACCAU